ACCAAUCAAUCCAGCAAAUUCUCCGCCAGCCAAGAGAAGAGAAUUGUGGAAUGUUUUCAAAGUGCAGCAAGUGAGAGAAAUUAAGAAAUAAAAAUAAGAGGAACAAGCCGGAUGAAUGAUUGCGGUAAUGGGAAAGUAAAUAGAGAUUUCCUCCAUCAGCCUUACCAUCGAAUCUCCAUCAAGCCGAGCGUCCACGGUUGAUUCCAG
RNAcentral lists this long non-coding RNA (207 nucleotides) under Eucalyptus grandis. RNAcentral's name for it is "long non-coding RNA (EGRA_LNC006772)". The record is from RNAcentral. Lineage: Eukaryota; Viridiplantae; Streptophyta; Magnoliopsida; Myrtales; Myrtaceae.